GAUGAACGCUGGCGGCGUGCCUAAUACAUGCAAGUCGAGCGAACAGACGAGGAGCUUGCUCCUCUGACGUUAGCGGCGGACGGGUGAGUAACACGUGGAUAACCUACCUAUAAGACUGGGAUAACUUCGGGAAACCGGAGCUAAUACCGGAUAAUAUAUUGAACCGCAUGGUUCAAUAGUAAAAGACGGUUUUGCUGUCACUUAUAGAUGGAUCCGCGCCUCAUUAGCUAGUUGGUAAGGUAACGGGUUACCAAGGCAACGAUGCGUGGCCGACCUGAGAGGGUGAUCGGCCACACUGGAACUGAGACACGGUCCAGGCUCCUACGGGAGGCAGCAGUAGGGAAUCUUACGCAAUGGGCGAAAGCCUGACGGAGCAACGCCGCGUGAGUGAUGAAGGUCUUCGGAUCGUAAAACUCUGUUAUUAGGGAAGAACAAAUGUGUAAGUAACUAUGCACGUCUUGACGGUACCUAAUCAGAAAGCCACGGCUAACUACGUG
RNAcentral lists this ribosomal RNA (497 nucleotides) under uncultured bacterium. Its description in RNAcentral is "partial 16S ribosomal RNA". It matches the Rfam family "Bacterial small subunit ribosomal RNA", at positions 28 to 507 of the family's 1533-position model. The record is from RNAcentral.